AGAGCUCACGUCAUCCCCCUGGGCUAAUCUCGGCUCGGAGACAGUUUAUACUCAAGCAAAACAGCAGGGACAUGGGGAAAACACCCCCCGGUAUUUGUUUAAAGCGGCUGAUGGAAAUAGUUCAGCUCUUCAGCCCAGUUUUAAAGGAAGCCGUCUCUCCCCAAGAUCUCAAUCAGCCACAAGGCUAACGGGGAAGCUUCAGACUGUAAAUCAAGAAGAAAAGCCAGGAGAGAUUCAAAUCUUCCCCCCCCCAAAGCUUUGAUCUUCCUUCAAACGCUCCUGCGGCUUGUAGGAGGUUUUACAUCAGGGAACUCUAAACCAAACCAA
Pezoporus flaviventris is the source of this 327-nucleotide long non-coding RNA. RefSeq lists it as uncharacterized. Lineage: Eukaryota; Metazoa; Chordata; Aves; Psittaciformes; Psittacidae. The record is from RefSeq and is a predicted model, not a curated record. The transcript has 2 exons.